GGGCCCGUAGCUCAGUUGGUAGAGCAUCGGCCUUUUAAGCCGCAGGUCGCGCGUUCGAAUCGCGCCGGGCUCACCA
This 76-nucleotide transfer RNA is filed under the name Chloroflexota bacterium. RNAcentral's name for it is "tRNA-Lys". It matches the Rfam family "tRNA". Rfam says of the family: Transfer RNA (tRNA) molecules are approximately 80 nucleotides in length. Their secondary structure includes four short double-helical elements and three loops (D, anti-codon, and T loops). Lineage: Bacteria; Bacillati; Chloroflexota. RNAcentral also lists the same sequence under 2 other names. The record is from RNAcentral.